GUACUCCUGAUGAGUCCCACAAUAGGACGAAACAGUCGUCCAGUGC
This 46-nucleotide non-coding RNA is filed under the name Schistosoma margrebowiei. The record is from RNAcentral. Lineage: Eukaryota; Metazoa; Platyhelminthes; Trematoda; Strigeidida; Schistosomatidae.